Saccostrea echinata is the source of this 2321-nucleotide long non-coding RNA. RefSeq lists it as uncharacterized. The transcript has 2 exons. The record is from RefSeq and is a predicted model, not a curated record. NCBI's taxonomy places the organism in Eukaryota, Metazoa, Mollusca, Bivalvia, Ostreida, Ostreidae.
AUAUUCCUGAGCAACAUGUCCUGACUGAGGGACUAGCAUUAAAAGCGGGACUGGAAACAGAGCUUUUCCAGUUUUUUACGCUUUGGUUCACCGAGAAAUGAAUAUCGAACUGGAAAUCGAAAUAUUCAAAUAGAAGACGCAGAAUGCAUUUCAAAAUUAAUAGAAAGUGGAUCUGGACGCAGAGCUGUUGAGAUAAUCAAACAUUGCUCCGAACACAAUCGAAUUUACAAACAAGAUUAUUUGAUAUUUGCGCUCGCAAUUUGCUGCAGGUCUUCUAAUCGCGAGACGAAAAGAGUGGGUUAUGAUUUGAUGCCACUGGUGUGUAGAAUACCGACUCAUCUGUUUAAAUUCAUUGAGUACUGCAAAAGUAUUAGUACACAACUUUAUAACUCAUCUGGAUGGGGAAGAGGGCACUGUUAAGCAAUAUGUAACUGGUAUCUGAGUUAUGGAGCAAAAGAAGAAAACCUCUUACUUUUGGCAUAUCAUCUGACAAAAUAUUCCAAACGGAGAGGAUGGAAGCACCGAGACGUUAUACGCCUCGCUCAUCUUAAGGUGAAAGAAGACAACUUCGCUUUGAAAUAUCUUGUCAUGAUUGCUGUGAAGGGAAAAAAACGUGCCGAUGAGUGUUAUUUCACGAAAGCUGAAAAAGAGGCUAAGGGUUAUCAGUUAUCGGUAUUAAAAAAGAUUAAAUCUUUUGUCGACCACGUUGAGAAAGCAUGGAAAGCAGAAAAUGUUGAAGAAGUAAAAAUGUUGAUUUUAAAAUAUAAAUUAGUCAGAGAACAAAUUCCGAACCGUUUUCUGAAACACAAAGAAAUUUGGAAAGCUCUGAUGAAACAUAUGCCUAUGACUGCCAUGAUUAGAAACCUUGGGAAGAUGUCAAACUUAGAAAUUUUCCAAUCAAAUUCUUUUGAAGAAAUUUUAGUUUGCGACAAGUUAAAAACAUUCAACUCAUUACCAGAGGACGGAUUCAUCCUAUUACGUAUUUGGUAGCUUCCAAUCAAUAUAAAAAAGGGAGUAAUAGAGAAGGGACGUUAACGUGGCCUGUGUCUCAGGAAAUAUGCAAUGCUCUAGAAGAAGGCUUCACAUUGUCUUUCUCAAAUGUCACACCAACAGAGAAACACUUGCUCCUAGCUGUUGAAGUGACAGAAUCUAUGUCGAAGGAAAUAUAUGUGAAGGGUAUGUCUUCACUAUCUGCUCUUGAUGCUGCAGCUUUUAUGGUGAUGUUAAUGGCUAAAACCGAACAUCAUUAUCGUGUAAUUGUAUUCUCGAGCAAAAAAGUCGUUGAUUUACCCGUGGAUCCCUCUGAUCAAAGUGAGGACAUUGUACGUAAAAUAAGAGAACUUGUACGGCCUUGCGACUCAUCGACAUCAGAUGCAUUUCUACCAUUUAAAUACGCCCUUGAAAACAACAUACACAUUGAUGCUUUUGUGAUGUUCACAGACUCUCAAACAUCAUUUGUACAUCCUGCACAGGCUUUUAAAACUUAUCGCCAAAAAGUUGAAAAAGCUCAUCUAAAUGAUGAUUCUCGAUUUAUAGUUUGCAAUAUGGUGUCUGAAGACUCAGAUGUUGGAGAUUUCAUGGAUCCUCACACAAUGACUAUAUCUGGAUUUGACUGGCAUGUACCACAUAUUGUAAAUGACUUCGUACGAUCCUUAUAGGGUGGACUUAUCAAGAAACAGAGCACUCAGAGAUUUUUUUUCAGCAUUCAUAUGAAUAUUAUGCCCGAGUGAUAUUCCUACAUGAAAUGUGAGGAUAAGGAACAAUGAUCAUUCUCAAAUCAAAAGUCUAUUCAAGCAAUACAAAAAAGCAACUCGGGCCUCUGAAAACAGAGAUUGGCAUCAGGUGUCAUGUCGUCGAUUUCCCUGUCGACGGGUCACACCCUCCAUGUGCUUUAUGUCAUGAUCGGGUAAACGGGAAAUUCCGUAGACAAUUCAGUGUGAAAAUAAUUACCAAACAAUUUGUAUGAAAGACAUGUAUUAACAUUCGACUUAACGACAGAUUGUUUUGGCAAACGAGAUCAUGUAUCGACCAUAGAAUUUGCACAAUACAUGUAUUGACUUUAAACCAGAUUGUUGAUAUCCUUGUAUCAUCAACUUAUUUAUCAAUAGCCUGCUGUUUUAGAAAUUGUUCAUACUUAGAAAUGCUCUUGCAUAGCGAAUCAACUGGGAGACAUAAACUCUAAAUGCAAGUGAUAAAGGUAUAUUGCUGCAUAAAUAAGGAAAGUUGAAGAUAUAAAAAGAUGAAGUCAUCACAUUUAUCAUAAAGUUUGGUUGUCAGUUUGCCACCAAUGUAUUUCUUUAAUAAAAUAUCCAAAUAUGAAA